Molecule: long non-coding RNA, 452 nt
Filed under: Olea europaea subsp. europaea
Lineage: Eukaryota; Viridiplantae; Streptophyta; Magnoliopsida; Lamiales; Oleaceae
Source: RNAcentral
AAAAGUACUUUCGACUUUAUUAAUUGGAAGCACUCCAGAUUGAACAUGGAAGCAAUAAAGGCAAAUCCUCCAUCAUUGUUUGUUGGAGGAAGCCUAGGUUUCCGUACAAUCAACAACAAACCAUAACUAGUAAAUUGAAUUCAAGAACUACAUCUUCAACGACAAAAAAAUGAAAGCAAAACAUAAAAUGGUGCGUUCAUGGUCACGAAGAAACAAACAGCCUGAGCGCCUGCUUGAGUUUACAGAGGAAUGAUUCGAAGAUUUGGCGCUUUAUUUUUCCUCGGAUCGGAAUCUUAGAUGAUGGGAAUGCUUUGAUUUUGCUCAUGGUUUGCCGGGCAAAAGAGAGUUGGAUUAAUUGUAGAGAGAUGCGAUACAUAUAUACACACACACACACACAUAUAUAUAUAUAUAUAGAGAGAGAGAGAGAGAGAGAGAGAGAGAGAGAGAGAGAG